Populus trichocarpa (black cottonwood) is the source of this 182-nucleotide non-coding RNA. The record is from Rfam. NCBI's taxonomy places the organism in Eukaryota, Viridiplantae, Streptophyta, Magnoliopsida, Malpighiales, Salicaceae.
UAAUCCACUUGAAAUAAAUCAUUAUCUAGUUAUUAGUUAUAACAGAAAUACACCUAACUAUCCAAAAUUACUUAAUAUCUCAAGCUGAAUACAGGGGCGGAGAGCAUGGAAUGCGAGCGUGCUUGCAUCCAGUGUUAAUGGUAGGAAAAGCCUGACAAAUAUCAAGGGUCUUAAGAUAAAAA